UAUUGGGUCAAAGGUCAAUUCUUGAGUUUCUCAAGAAUGAGUUUUUGCACAGUGUUCUCUAUGAAAAUCCCCAUUAGGAAAAGAAUGUGCCUUUAGUACCGGUUUACGAGCGUUUCCACUUCUUGUGCUGCUCAAGUGGAGGACUCUUCUUCUGACGAAGCUCGGCCCCGGAGAGGAGUUACAGUGAGCUGCAACAAAGAAUGCAGAUGCUUGCAGCCUCGGGCAGCAUGGUGAAAGCUAUUGCGAUUUUAAAUUUAAUGAAAUAUGUUCCCGGAAAGCCGACUGUGUACGACUACAAUUCAAUGAUUUAUUGUUAUUUCAACUCAGGGUAUGUUAAGUUUGAUGAGUUGUUUGAGGUAUACAUUGCGAUGAAAAGAUUUGGACCUAACCCAAAUGCAUCGACUUUUAAUACGCUUUUGAGUGGGUUAAUUUUGGUUGGGAGAUUGAAAGAUGGGAUUUUGAUUGCACAAGGAAUGAUGGAGAGUGGGUUUUUGCCUUCAUAUAAUGUUUUAUCAAAAUUCUUUAAGAAAUUUUUGAAUCUAGGAAGUGUAGUGGAAUCUCUUAUAGUACUUGAAAUCAUGUUGGGGCUGGAUUAUAUUCCUAGAAAACGUGAUAUGAUUGCCUUGAUUCAUGGUCUUUGUAAAGGCGGAAUGAUUCAACAGGCAUAUUUUGUGUUAUUGGCACUUUAGGGGAAGGGAUGCUUUUGCAGUGCACAUUUAUAUAAUCCCAUAUUGUGGCUUUGUGUAAGUGUAAGGACAAUAAAAUUGCUGUAGCAUUUCUUGGUUGGUUAAAAAAGAAGGUUUUAUAUGUAAUGUUUACUUGUAUACUGCACUUAUUUAUGGUUUCAGUAAAGACGGGUUGUGGGACAUAGCUUUUCAUUGUCUCUAAGAAAUGGAAAAUGAAGGUUGUAACCUAGUGUGAUAACUUACACAAUACUUGUUAAGUUUCUCUGUGAUGAUGGAAAUGUUGAUGAUGCACUAGGCCUUUUGGAAAAGAUGGAUGAGAAAGGAUGUGAUCCCGACUUGGUUACAUACAAUAUAAUCCUCUGUGAACUUUGCCAUCAAGGUAGGACAACUGAAAUUGAUUGUCUGUUCCACGUUAUUGAUAGAGGGGGUUUGUCACCUGAUAUGUAUACCCAUUCGGCUUUGGCUGGAGGCAUGUUGAAAAGGGGAAAAAUAGAAAUUGCAAAUAAGCUAUGCUUGAUAUCAUUUAAAGAGGUUGCUCUCUAGACGCUGUAGUUUACAAUAUAUACUGGCAUUCUCUGGCUUGUGAUGGUAAAUCUAGAGAAGCUUUGUCUAUGAUACAAAGUAUGAGAGAGAAGGGUUUUAGACCAACCAAUAUAACAUACAACAUGAUUCUGAAAGGAUUAUGUAACGAAAUAAAAAUUGAUGAAGUUCUACAGUUCUUUGACUGCUUCGAUUGGGCCACAGGAGGGCCUGACAUGAUUUCCAUCAAUAAAAUUUUGUCCACUGCGUGUAAAGAGGGAAAUUCUUCUAUGAUAAGGAGGAUUUUGUACCGGAUGGAGUAUGAAGGAAUUAAGCUUGAUGUUAUGAGCUCAUCAUCUCUUAUUCAGUAUUUCUGUAAAAUUGGGGAAAUCCCAGAAUGCUUUAAGCUUUUGGAUUCCAUGGGUCGUCAACCUAAUACUAUGACCUUAAACGCUCUCAUGAGUUGCCUUUGCAAACAUCGAUUGCUUGGUGUUGCAGGAAAAAUGUUCAGCUAUUUAAAAAGUAUUGGAAUUUCACCUAAUACAACUACAUAUGAUAUUUUAAUGCGUGCUUCCAUAUGAGAAGGCAACGAUUUGCUGAUAAUUAAGCUCUUAAAAGACAUGUAUGGCCAGAAAUUGAAGCCAGAUGUUGACACCUGUGGUUGCUUCAUUUGUAGCUUUUGUAAAGAAGGCAAGAUAUUACCUGCUCUCCAGCUUCGAGACCAAUUAUUUGCCAAUGGAAUUACUCUAACAUUGUGAUUUAUGAUACCAUAUUGGAGGCCAUGUUUAGGAGAGGAAAUUUUUGGGAAAUCGUCUCAUUAUUGAAAAUGAUGGCAAUGGAUGGCUGUGAACCAAAUGCAUAUUCUUUGGAUAUAAUGGGACGAGCUAUGAGAAAAGGUUGGAUGAAAGGAUUCCCUAGAGCAACAAAAGUUUUAAAGACCGUCAUGGGUGGUAAUUGGUAAUGUGAGAAUGAAAAAUAUCACAGAGAUUCAUGGAUAUUGAUGAAGAAAAUGGACCUUAUUACAAUUGCUUCAUUGUGAAACUUCCAGGAGCUCUCGCUGAGAUUAUGAUUUGUCUGGAAACUGAGCUCAUUGCAGUCUGCAACAGCCUGUUUUGUAGGACCUACUCGCGAAGAGUUAAAGUAAUGUUAUUGAAGAACCUCUGGACACGCUUUUGCUUGUGCUGACUUUCCUUCAGGUUCAGAAGGAAUUGAGAUAUUAUCCUACCUACUUUCACUGGAAUUUGGGUAAUAAGCUGCCCGAGAAUGAACAAAACAAUCUUGGCAUGUAUCAGCAUUUCCCAGCGUAUGCAUGAAAAGAAAAGUCACUAAAAGGAUCAAGAAAGAUCGAAGGAAAGUCAUUAGCAAUGGAAGCAGAAACAAGAAGUAAAACUGAAGUUGUUAAAGAGUUAGGUGAGUUUGCACCUAAGGAUGCAGCCAGCGUUCUACUCUAGGGGGGAACCAUUCAACCAUCUGCAUGUUGACAUCUAUAUCUAUCCAUCAUCCAAAUAGGAGUUUCAAAAUUGGAGGGCUGUUUUUCCUUAAACCCCCCACCCCCACCUUCUUUUGUGGGAUUUUUUUUUUUUUUUUUUUUUAAGUGGGGGUGUGGGGGUCGCUGAGGUACCCUGCUCUUUAAUUCAGAUCAACUUAUUUGGCCCCUGUUUUUUGAAAUGAAAAUGGGUGGAAUAGGUUUAUUUUUUUCAUUUUUUUUUGAAAAAUGAAUGGUAAGAAGG
This is a long non-coding RNA of Olea europaea var. sylvestris, 2935 nucleotides long. RefSeq lists it as uncharacterized. The transcript is spliced from 4 exons. The record is from RefSeq and is a predicted model, not a curated record. NCBI's taxonomy places the organism in Eukaryota, Viridiplantae, Streptophyta, Magnoliopsida, Lamiales, Oleaceae.